Molecule: RNA transcript, 1464 nt
Organism: Vitis riparia (riverbank grape)
Lineage: Eukaryota; Viridiplantae; Streptophyta; Magnoliopsida; Vitales; Vitaceae
Gene name: RHOMBOID-like protein 1
Exons: 6
Source: RefSeq, a predicted model, not a curated record
GUAUCUUCUUCCUUCCUCUCUUCCCCCAUAACAACCGGUGCACAGUAGCAGCGGCUGCGCCGGUGACCUGAGUAGGCGUAUCACGCACUCUUCCUCAAUGGGGAAGAGUAAAACUCCGGGGGAUAUAGAGGCGGCCGCCCACCAAGUGGCUGCUCGACCGCAGGCCCGACCGUGCCCGCCACCACCCAAGUCGUGGUUCCCGUGGCUGGUGCCGGUCUUCUUCAUGGCUAAUGUGGCGACAUUCGUGUAUAGCAUGUAUGUGAAUAAUUGCCCGGAGAAGACUGGGGCGGAUCGAUGCGUUUUCAACUCAUAUUUGGGAAGGUUUUCUUUCCAGCCCCUAUCUGAAAACCCACUCUUUGGCCCUUCCCCCACCACGCUGGAAAAACUAGGAGCCCUGGAGAAGAAACUUGUGGUGCAGGAAGGGGAGGAAUGGCGCCUUGUGUCAUGCAUCUGGCUUCACGCCGGAGCCAUCCAUUUAAUCGCCAACAUGUUGAGCCUUCUGUUCAUUGGAGUCAGGCUAGAACAGGAGUUUGGAUUUUUGAGAAUAGGGCUCUUGUACGUGAUUUCUGGUUUUGGGGGAAGCUUGUUAUCUGCUCUUCAUCUUCAGAAAUCCAUAUCAGUGGGUGCAUCAGGUGCACUUUUUGGGCUGUUAGGAGCCAUGCUUUCUGAACUCUUCAUGAACUGGACAAUCUACGCAAAUAAGUGUGCAGCCCUGAUGACUCUCAUGUUCGUCGUUGUCUUAAAUUUGGCUGUUGGUUUUCUCCCUCAUGUGGAUAGUUCUGCCCAUAUUGGAGGAUUUCUUUCAGGAUUUCUCCUGGGAUUCAUUCUUUUAGUCCGCCCUCAAUAUGGAUACGUAAGUCGCAAGUACAUUCCUCCUGGAUAUGAUGGAAAACGUGUGAAAUCCAAGCACAAAUGGUAUCAAUAUCUGUUAUGGGUUGCAGCUUUAGUUGCCUUAAUUUUCGGAUUUGCAUUAUGCUUGGUAAAGUUGUUCAAUUUUCAGCUAUCUUAAAACUGAUACCAUACUUUCUUCUACUAUCAACUCACUGUUAGCGAGCCCCAAUCCCAAUGUGUAAGCACAGAAGGAUUAUGUUCUUGAAAGGAUUAAAAUGGAACAUGUAGAAGAAGCUUGUAUAAAAUUUCAGAGGAACGACUCAUAUUCAAGUCAUAGAUGACAAUCAUUGUUCUCCAGCACCAUAUCAGGAAAAACAACAUGUUUUUUGGUGAAGGACUACUAUGAAAACAGUCAACCAAAAGUCGUUGUCAUGAUUGGAUGAUGUUGAAUCAUUUAAUUUGAAGAUUUUCCCUUUCCUGCGUGCAUUCUGCAUUGUCUGCUAGACUGCCAUUCUUUAAGUUUUCUGAAAUCAACAAAUCAUUCCUUCAUUUUUUAUUUUUUUUCCUAAUGAAAUGUAACAAGUGGGAUCAUACUUGGCUCCCUUCUUAUAUUUAUAUGCAUGCAAAUAAAAG